RNAcentral lists this transfer RNA (83 nucleotides) under Pectinodesmus pectinatus. Its description in RNAcentral is "tRNA-Tyr". Lineage: Eukaryota; Viridiplantae; Chlorophyta; Chlorophyceae; Sphaeropleales; Scenedesmaceae. The record is from RNAcentral.
UAGCAUGAGCAGGAUUCGAACCUGCGCAGACAAUCGUCAGCGGGUUUACAACCCGAUACCUUUGGCCACUCAGUCAUCAUGCU